This is an RNA transcript of Eptesicus fuscus (big brown bat), 1424 nucleotides long. It is a transcript of the gene named cytosolic iron-sulfur assembly component 2A, with no coding region annotated. Lineage: Eukaryota; Metazoa; Chordata; Mammalia; Chiroptera; Vespertilionidae. The record is from RefSeq and is a predicted model, not a curated record. The transcript is spliced from 6 exons.
GGGUUUGCGGUCCUUGGGGUUUGCGCCUUUCCCUUGGUCCCCCGCGCUACUCUGUCCGGACCCGCCCAUUCCCUGCUCCCCUGGACACUUUUAGGUUGGUCUCGGCCCGUUUGAAGACCAGGAAGUUGAUAAAUCGCGAGGCCAGCCGCUGAAAGACGGCGGCUCGGGUGGGACAGUCGCCAGGGAUGGCGGAGCGUGAGGAUGAAGCGGGUGUCGGGGCUGCUCUCCUGGACGCUGAGCAGGGUCCUGUGGCUCUCGGGCCUCUUUGAGCGGGGAGCUGACCGGCAGCCCCGGAUCAUGGAAGAGAAAGCGCUAGAGGUUUAUGAUUUGAUUCGAACUAUCCGGGACCCAGAGAAGCCCAAUACUUUGGAAGAACUGGAAGUGGUAACGGAAAAUUGUGUGGAGGUUCAGGAGAUAAAUGAAGAGGACUAUUUGGUUAUUAUCAGAUUCACGCCAACAGUACCUCAUUGCUCUUUGGCAACUCUUAUUGGGCUGUGCUUAAGAGUAAAACUUCAGCGGUGUUUACCAUUUAAACAUAAGGUCAGACUACCAGCAGCGACCACGGGAGCAUGGCGGACAUCGGGAGCAUGGCGGAUGAGGACCUGUUUAUGGAAUGUGAGGAGGAGGAGCUGGAGCCAUGGCAGAAAAUCAGUGAUGUCAUUGAGGAUUCUGAAGUUGAAGAUUAUAAUUCAGUGGAUGAAACUACUACAGUUUCUGAGAGCCAGCAGCCAGUCUCAGCUCCAGUGCCCAUCGCUCUCUAUGCUUCUGUUGUUAAGCACGGGGCACAGAACAGCGGCAGUACAAAGAGGACUCUUGUCAGACUAAUUGUCGAGGACAAUCCCCAAAUAAAGCGUCGUCGUCGAUAUAAUAUGCCUGAUGACCAAGAAUUGCCACCAUAUGUUUCUCCAUCCGAAAGAAGGCGACGUCGUCUACAGAAUAUGUCUGAAGAAGAACGAUUGGCACAACGUAACUCUGAAGCCGAAAGAAGCCGGCGUCGUCGACAGAAUAUGUCUGAAGAACAAAAAUUGGCACAACGUACCUCUGCAGCCGAAAGAAAGCGACGUCGUCUACAGAAUAUGUCUGAAGAACAACGAUUGGCACAACGUACUUCUGAAGCCGAAAGAAGCCGGCGUCGUCGACAGAAUAUGUCUGAAGAACAAAGAUUGGCACUACGUACUUCUGCAGCCGAAAGAAAGCGACGUCGUCUACAGAAUAUGUCUGAAGAACAACGAUUGGCACAACGUACCUCUGAAGCUGAAAGAAGUCGGCGUCGUCGACAAAAAAUGUAUGAAGAACAGUCAUCGACAAGUACUACCAGUAGUGGUAGGAACUGCCUUCAUAGCGAAAAUGAGUUGGAAAUCUACAUUUCUGAAGGAACCCACUCAACAGAGGAAGACAUCAACAAGCAGAUAAAUGACAAAGAG